AUGAAUACUAAUUCAUGGGUUGCCAUAGACACGAGUGCUUUUCCUGAUCGACUCGUUUUUCUGAAUAUUUUCUUUUACUAGCUACUGCAGACAAUGGAGGUUUAAAGGUUAAGGAACAGUUUUAAGUGCAGCAUGCAUAUACAACUAGACCUAUAGUAUUUCACCAAGAACAAGAAAAAGUGGAUUUUAAAUGUUUUAAGUAAUAAUGCAUUCUAAAACACCCAGCACUCAAAGACAUGAAAGUUACUUUUGUACAAUAUACUAUGUAAAAAUUAUUUUUAGAACAUGUUUACAUCCUGUGUGUAUCAUUCUGUCUUCAGCCCCCCCUUCUCCCAGUGCUGUGUUCGUUAAGGUGAGUGAGGAGGUGGUUCUUCCCUGCUUUGGUCGUGUGGACUGGUUUAAAUCAGAAGCUGAGCUCGUCCAGUGGUUCAGAGGAGAUCAGCUGGUUCUGCAGUGGGAGAAGGGUUCUCUGUAUGUGGAUCAUCUGUUUACAGACAGAGUGUCACUGUCUAAAGAUAGAAUCCUGAAAGAUGACCUCUCUCUGGUUCUGAAGAACACCAUCCACGAAGACCAGGGCCUUUAUCACUGCUCAUUUGUGAAAAACCAAACCAUCACACCUGCUAUACAGACUAAUCUCACUGUGACAGACCACCAGACUCAUCUGAAGGUGGGGGCGGGUUCCUCAGUGCUCCUUCCCCUCCAUACAGCAUCUGCAGUGAAAGUGUGGUUCCUGCCUGAUGGAGGGAACGGUACUGUAAGUGUGUGUGAGGUGGAGGAAGACCAGCUGAAGUGUGAAGUUUCUUACACAGGCCGAACGGUUCUACGUAAACCCUCCCUGAAGCUGGAGAUCCGCUCCGUGGUGUAUUCUGGAACCUUCUCAGUGAUGGAGAGAGAAAGCCAUCAUACUGUUAAUGUCCUUUUCUUACAGGUGUUCCCUGCAGGUACAUAUUCCACUUCACCUGUAGUGUUUAGCCAGUGUGACUUUCUCUUUUUUUCACUCAUCUAACACUGUUUUCUUCUGAUCUCCAGGUGACCCUGUGGUAAAUCCAAAAACAGUGGCGAUAACAUCAGUACUGGUAUUUCUGGCAGUUUGCCUGGGGAUAUGUGUGGCCAUUGUUGGGAUCAAAAAGAAGGGGUGGUAUAGACGGUAUAGACGGUAUAGACGGAGGCGGAGACGUCGCACUGUGGAGCGGGCAGAAGAAGCCCUUCACCAGAAGCACACUGAUACCACCAGCACUGAGGUGUCAAUCAGUAAAAAUGAACAGUCUGUCGAGAGCAUCAUAUAAACAACCAAUAGUCUAGUGCCUAUUUCUUUAUACACUGCUCUGAUUCUGUCUAAACUGCAGUUCCUGGAGUGGAGGAAUGUAAAUAUUGUAGAAUGAUUAACAAGAAUAGUUCCUUUUUACUCUUUUAUGUAGUCGUGUAGUUCUGUGUCAUUGUUGGUUUUUGUGGAUCUUUACUUUGUAAAGGAAAAAUCUUUUUUCAAAAAAAAGUUACUGUAGAUUAGAUGUCACAAGUUUUUGAUUCGUUUGACGCCCCUGCUGUAGAAACGUAAACUUUUAUUUCUGCUGUAAACUAAAGAUAAUCAGCUUUUUUUACAGUAAUACACCAUAGCAUUAGCAUCAGUGCGAGGGGAAGAUAUAUUAAGUGGAGAUACAGUUUAUGAAGCAAUACUGAACAGUCUGUGCGGUGUUCCUGGUAUGCAGUGGUCAGUACUCACAAAAAAUAUGUUCCAAGGAAGCACAAUCAGUAAACCAGCAACAGGGUCAUGGCUAAACCACCCAAGGCUAAGUGAUUUUUAUCAAGCCUCUGCCCGUCUCACAAGUUACGGGACUUGGAUUAAAGGAUCUGCUAUCUUUGUACCAUAUGCCAAUAUUUUUGUAUUAUUUAAUAUUAUUGUUUAUUUGUAUUAAAUAAAAUGUGAUUUUUAAAUUUUAUU
RNAcentral lists this long non-coding RNA (1939 nucleotides) under Astyanax mexicanus (Mexican tetra). RNAcentral describes it as "lncRNA (ENSAMXG00005023564.1)". The record is from RNAcentral. Lineage: Eukaryota; Metazoa; Chordata; Actinopteri; Characiformes; Acestrorhamphidae.